UGUCUCGUCUAAUCCUUCCACAGUGCUGCAAGGUAAAAAAGGUUCUCAGCUGAGAAAAAUGAGACUUACAGAUGUUAAGAAACUCAUCCAAGGUCAAUAGCUGAUGUAUAUAAAUCAAGCAUUGGAUUUCAGGUUUAUUUGUUACUAAAAUUCAUGCCCAGAACCUCUGCGCUAUUCUGAUCUUAGGCUUAUUGUCCCUAAUUAAAGCAGUUGGGCCAAGAAGCAGCAACUUGUUAUUCUGAAAGCUUCAGCCAAUGCUGCAUGUUGAAAUUGCCAUCCCUUAACAAAAGCCAGUUUUUAAAGAGCAACUAGUUGGUUAGAAUUGCUACCAUGUCUUUAAUUGCAUAAAUGCAAGUUUGUUUGGUUUUUAGUUAAAUCACAUUAAGUAUUUAGAUACUACUUAAGAUGAGAAACAGACAUAUAAGCCAUCUAACGAAAUGAAACACAAGGGUCUGUGGCUAUAUUCCUGCUGUGCACUUUCUCAACACCUGAAACUAGAUUUUCUUCCUCUGAAGCUCUGUAGGACAGUUCCAUAAAAAUGUGGAUUAAUAUUUCACGGUCACCACAGAGAAGAUGCAGCCCAAUAUUGUAAGAAGAGAAAGAAUUGGCUUGUAUGUUCUUCACAGAAAUUUUCAGUGGCCCAUAGGAUUUGAUCAUAACUCUUCCAGAGACAUAAAUCAAUCCUGCAACUCAGAGGUGCCCAUUUGAAAUGGCUAACAAAACGACUGUGGGAAAAGGCCCUGACUUAUGACAGCAGAGAGGAGACUUCAGCAAGACUACCGAAUGGCAGAGAUAUUUCUACUCCUAAGAAGUGGGAUUGAAUUUUCUGCCCUAUCCUUCCCUCUGAGCAGUUUGGUCAGGGGAAAACCAGCUGCCAUGUCCUGAGGACACUCAAGAAGCUUCGUGGAGAUGUCUACGUGGCAAUGAUCUGAGUCCUCCUGCCAGAAGCCAUGCCAAUAAUCUAUUUUGGAAAUGGAUCUGUCAUUGCCAGCCAAGCUGCCAGAUGACUGCAGUCACAGCCAACAUUUUGACUGCAACGUGAUGAAAGGACCGGAGCCAGAAACACUUAGCUAUGUUCUAUCAGAUUUCGGACCCUCAGAAACUGUCUAAUACAUAGUGAUUGUUUUAAGCUAAUGAGUUUUGGAGUAAUUUGUUACACCGCACAUAUAUCUAAUACUUAGCCUUUCUAGUGUUUAAAGGACAGCUACUCCUGACCUUCUCUUCUGUUUAAACAUCCCCCUUUCUUUUCUGAUCUCCCUUUGUGUGGCUCAGUUUUCUGCUCUUUUGCUCCAACACGGGGCUGUUCCUGUUCGCCAAUAUCCUUUUCAGUGUCAGUCUGUAUUAGUUAAAUCUCUUGGUUGAAAGUGACAGAAACUCAAAUUCACCCAGCUUAUGAAUAAGAAGGGGGCUGUGUUGUCCCAUGUCAUCACAUUUCCAGAGGGGAAGAGGAGGAUCUGGCCUUAGAGACAGCUGGAACCAGGGACACAAAUAGCACACGGGCUCUUUCUCUCUCUUUCUGCAUUUUAUCCUAGGUUUUGGCUUCACUCUCAAAUCUGAUGUCCUCAGAAACUUAUAAUCAUUUUUACAUAGCUUUUGUACUCAGAGCUGUGUGGCUGGAGACCAAAGAAAGUUCUUCCCUGCCAGAACAUUUCAGUUAAAAAAAUCUCAGAAGAGAAUUGCAAUUGGUCUGACUUCAAUCGUGUUCAUCCCCCUAUAACACUGUGACAGAGAGCAGUUUACCAGGACCAGGUGAAUCAUGUGUGCACACCUGUGGUGAGGGACACCCUUGGAAGAGAUUUAAGGAGAAGGAGAGACGAAGUGGCAACUCUAAGAAGAAGGUGACUAUGGACAGAGGAGAGAAUAAAUCACCUCGGCUUCCUAGCUGUGUGUCAUGUCCCUGUGGUGUUGGACCAGUGUGGGAUGAACAGAUUAUUUUCUAGUAGUCAGAUAAGUCCAUUUCAUAUAAUAAAUAAGCUGAUCAGAAAUAAGAUCUCUGGAAAAGUUAAGAGCACAGUGGGUGGUAGUAAGAAAAUCUGUUCUUACUUAGGUAAGAGGGUUCAGUGACACAAGGAAUGAUGACCAGUGGAGAAUGCCAUGGUAAAGAAAAAAGGUUAGAUAGGUUAGAACUGGACUUCUGGGACAGAUGUGGGAGUGGGUACUCAAGCCCAUGGCUUCUGAACCACAAUACUGCAGCACACUGGGGUCACAGUCCUCUGUAAGGAAGCUUGUGGGGUCCACCUCAAACAAUUCAUUGUCAGUAGACAAAAUACCAUAGUUAAUAAAUUAAUUCUCUUUUUUAUGCACUAAGUUGGAUAUAUAGUCGUCCUCAUGAUAAUAGCCUUCUCCUUAGCAUGCAUCCAAGAGACAGUGUAGCCUAAUGGUUAGAAAGAUGGCCCUCUGAUCAGACAGUCUGGAUUUGAAUCUUAGAUCUUAUUAGACAUACGAUCUUGGGCAAAUUCUUUAACCUCUCUGUGCUUCAUAGAAUUUGGAAUAAUAAUAAUAAUAAUAUAUCAUAGGAAAUUAAAUAAGUUAAUAUAUAGAAAGUUCUUACAACAGCAUCUGACACACAGUAAGUGCUAUAUAGAUAUUGGUAAUUGUUAUUACUAUUAUCAUCAUCAUUAUUCUUGAAUUAAGGGGAGAGGUUUAUAGUUUAACCUAUCCCAAUGGACACAUGGGCAUACCCAUUUCAGUAUCAUCCAUUCCAUAUACUGAGGAAGAGAAAAGCUGAAAAGUUGUCAUUCUAAGCAGUCCGAGGACCAGAGUGUAAGUCUCUAUAAGAGAGUGAAGACAAGUACGUUGAAAUUAUUUGUGGGACAUUUGGGCUGCAAAUAGAGGCCUCUUAGAAGACUACAAUAUCCACCUUGUCAAGUGUUAAAGUUGGUGCUGACUGCAUGUCUUCAAAUAAUACAAAAGCAAAUAUAUCCCACUGCACUUCCAUAAGAAAUAAGCAUUCAUCUGUGGGUUGUUGGUUUUCCAAUUGCAGUAGCAAAGAUUUAAGCCAUAUUUAGGAUCCAACAUAUCCAUCAUAAAAGCUAUCUUUCCUAAUGCUCAUUUUUAUCCAAGUACAGUGCAUAAUUAAAUGCUAGCACUGAGAAGCACUGUAUUUAGAAAAUAACAAGGCAAGAUCAUCAACCACAGCUAUUUAUGUACUCCUCCAGCUCGAAUACCUCAGACUGUGCAUGCUUGCUACUGACAUUGCUUAUUUUUAAGUCUUUUUUUAAACUGUAUAAAUCAUACUUUUGAAAGAUGUGGCAAUUGGAUCAUUAUAUCAUAUAAGAAAAGCUUUAAAAACUAAGUGAUGCUUAAAGAUCAUGCAGCACACCUAUCUGAACAUCUGUCUGCCAUAUAUUUUUAAAAUAUUUGUCUCAAGUCAAACAAUGACUUAUGGAAGCAGUAGAACUAUGACAUGUGUGCCACACUCAUGGCAAUCAUCACCAAUUCUCUGUAAAGCCUGGACUGAGCUUCAGAAUCCUUUUCAACACAAAGAUCCAGGUAGCCACUUCAAAUCAAUUAAAUUUAGCAUGAAAAUUUAAAUCAGUUUAUCAUCCCCUAAUGAUGGCUAACCUAAAUAGAGCCCAGGAUACCAAAUUUCCAUACUAAUCUGAUUAUACCAUUCAAAUUCUUCAGUUAUGAACUAUUUGAGCCACAUUUGUCCAUCUCCACACUCUUCUUGACUGUUCCAUGAAGAAUCAGUCCACCUCAGUGAAUAUGUUAGUGAUAACCCUUCCUGAACCUGGUCAGUGAUAAGCUCCCAUACUGCAAAUAACACUUUUUAAAUGAAAUAUAAUUCACUUUCCAGACAAUUCAUCCUUUUACAGUGCUCAAUUGAGUAUGUUUGACUAUAUUCACAAUCUAAUUCCAGGACAUUUUCAUUACUCACAAAAGAAACCCUAUAUAGCAGUCAUUCCCCAUUUCUCCCUCACCCUCUGUACCCCAGCCCUUAGGAACCACUAACCUAUUUUCUAUCUCUGGAUUUGAUUAUUCUAUACAUUUAAUAUAAAAGGAAUCAUAAAAUACAUGGCCUUUUGUGUCUAGCUUCUUUCACUUAGCAUAAUGUUUUUAAGGUCCAUACACAUUGUAUGUAUCAGUACUUCAUUCCUUUUUUGUAAGUGAAUAAUUUUCUAUUGUAUUAUAUACAAAUUUUAUUUAUCCAUUCAA
Molecule: long non-coding RNA, 4158 nt
Organism: Manis pentadactyla (Chinese pangolin)
Lineage: Eukaryota; Metazoa; Chordata; Mammalia; Pholidota; Manidae
Exons: 3
Source: RefSeq, a predicted model, not a curated record